Molecule: long non-coding RNA, 731 nt
Filed under: Pan troglodytes (chimpanzee)
Lineage: Eukaryota; Metazoa; Chordata; Mammalia; Primates; Hominidae
Description: long non-coding RNA NONPTRT017302
Source: RNAcentral
CGCGCCCCGGGUCAUUAGCCGCCCCCAUAAGCCCGUCGCGCGCGGCCUCCCAGACCCCGUCUGUGGUACCGUCGCGCGCGGCCUCCCGGGCCUCGUCCGUGGUCCCGUCGCGCGAGGCUUCCCGGGUCCCCUCGUUGGUGCUAUCGAGCAUGGACUCCAGGGUCCCAUCGCUGGCCACUUCAAAGGACACUCUCCGCUCUACGAAGUCUGGCCCCAAGCUUCGCUCUGGCCUGUCCCGGGAUCGGGAUCCGGCUCUUCUCCCCCCACAGUCGGAGGACAGCGUGAUCGCUGAAGCUGCGGCAGAAGCCUCCCCGGGUAGAGCCUGAACCUGCAGAGAGUGAGGCCCGGGAGGCCCUAGUGUGGGCGAGUCAGGCGCGCAGGGCGCUUACGGGGAUAAUGCAAUGGUUAAUAAAGGCGUGGCCCCCAGGCGGCUCUGACACCCGCGUGCAUGCUCUAGCAUUUCCGGCCGGCCACUCAUUCGUGCGUCCAAUUUCCAAGCUGCAAGAGAGCUCAGCGCCUGCUUUCCCUGAAUGCCCUUUGGGACCCCGCAUCCCUGCCCUCAGUGGGGCCCUACCGCGAGCCGGCAGGCUCAGAGCAAGCCCGGGCACUGGCGGGCGCGGACGUGCGACGAAGCAGCAGCUGGCAGCUGGGCCGCUACGGUGAGGCCCGGGGGAAAAGCGUAGACUUUGUUCUCCGCGCCAAGGGGGUGUCUUAUGUUCAACCUACUGGGA